GAUGAACGCUGGCGGCGUGCCUAAUACAUGCAAGUCGAGCGAACGGACGAGAAGCUUGCUUUUCUGAUGUUAGCGGCGGACGGGUGAGUAACACGUGGAUAACCUACCUAUAAGACUGGGAUAACUUCGGGAAACCGGAGCUAAUACCGGAUAAUAUUUUGAACCGCAUGGUUCAAAAGUGAAAGACGGUCUUGCUGUCACUUAUAGAUGGAUCCGCGCUGCAUUAGCUAGUUGGUAAGGUAACGGCUUACCAAGGCAACGAUGCAUAGCCGACCUGAGAGGGUGAUCGGCCACACUGGAACUGAGACACGGUCCAGACUCCUACGGGAGGCAGCAGUAGGGAAUCUUCCGCAAUGGGCGAAAGCCUGACGGAGCAACGCCGCGUGAGUGAUGAAGGUCUUCGGAUCGUAAAACUCUGUUAUUAGGGAAGAACAUAUGUGUAAGUAACUGUGCACAUCUUGACGGUACCUAAUCAGAAAGCCACGGCUAACUACGUGCCAGCAGCCGCGGUAAUACGUAGGUGGCAAGCGUUAUCCGGAAUUAUUGGGCGUAAAGCGCGCGUAGGCGGUUUUUUAAGUCUGAUGUGAAAGCCCACGGCUCAACCGUGGAGGGUCAUUGGAAACUGGAAAACUUGAGUGCAGAAGAGGAAAGUGGAAUUCCAUGUGUAGCGGUGAAAUGCGCAGAGAUAUGGAGGAACACCAGUGGCGAAGGCGACUUUCUGGUCUGUAACUGACGCUGAUGUGCGAAAGCGUGGGGAUCAAACAGGAUUAGAUACCCUGGUAGUCCACGCCGUAAACGAUGAGUGCUAAGUGUUAGGGGGUUUCCGCCCCUUAGUGCUGCAGCUAACGCAUUAAGCACUCCGCCUGGGGAGUACGACCGCAAGGUUGAAACUCAAAGGAAUUGACGGGGACCCGCACAAGCGGUGGAGCAUGUGGUUUAAUUCGAAGCAACGCGAAGAACCUUACCAAAUCUUGACAUCCUUUGACAACUCUAGAGAUAGAGCCUUCCCCUUCGGGGGACAAAGUGACAGGUGGGGCAUGGUUGUCGUCAGCUCGUGUCGUGAGAUGUUGGGUUAAGUCCCGCAACGAGCGCAACCCUUAAGCUUAGUUGCCAUCAUUAAGUUGGGCACUCUAAGUUGACUGCCGGUGACAAACCGGAGGAAGGUGGGGAUGACGUCAAAUCAUCAUGCCCCUUAUGAUUUGGGCUACACACGUGCUACAAUGGACAAUACAAAGGGCAGCGAAACCGCGAGGUCAAGCAAAUCCCAUAAAGUUGUUCUCAGUUCGGAUUGUAGUCUGCAACUCGACUACAUGAAGCUGGAAUCGCUAGUAAUCGUAGAUCAGCAUGCUACGGUGAAUACGUUCCCGGGUCU
This 1372-nucleotide ribosomal RNA is filed under the name uncultured bacterium. RNAcentral describes it as "bacterial SSU rRNA". It matches the Rfam family "Bacterial small subunit ribosomal RNA", at positions 28 to 1381 of the family's 1533-position model. The record is from RNAcentral.